RNAcentral lists this ribosomal RNA (433 nucleotides) under uncultured bacterium. RNAcentral describes it as "partial 16S ribosomal RNA". It matches the Rfam family "Bacterial small subunit ribosomal RNA", at positions 29 to 507 of the family's 1533-position model. The record is from RNAcentral.
AACGAACGCUGGCGGCAGGCCUAACACAUGCAAGUCGAGCGCGCCCUUCGGGGUGAUCGGCUUCCGGGUUAGUAACGCGUGGGAACGUGCCCUUGUGUGUAGAAUAGCCUCGGGAAACUGAGAGUAAUACCGUACACGUGCUUUGGCGGAAUGAUCUAUCGAUAAAGGAUCGGACCGCGUUGGAUUAGGUAGUUGGUGAGGUAAUGGCCUACCAAGCCGACGAUUCAUAGCUGGAUUGAGAGGAUGAACAGCCACACUGGGACUGAGACACGGCCCAGACUCCUACGGGAGGCAGCAGUGGGGGAUAUUAGACAAUGGGGGCAACCCUGAUCUAGCGAUGCCGCGUGAGUGAUGAAGGCCUUAGGAUUGUAAAGCUCUGUCAGCUGGGAAGAUAAUGACGGUACCAGACGAAGAAGCACCGGCUAACUACGUG